AAUCAAUCAAUACCACCAGCCUUAUAGUUCAUGUUUCCCUUCCUAGACCAGGGCAGUGUAUUCCUAAUCCUCCAAUAAUUGUGAAAAUCUAGCAAGAUUAAUGUUGAUGCAUCUUUCAAGCCUCAAGAUCAUCAAGGAAGGCACCUAUAUGGCAGAGCAUUCACUAAACCAUGCUCAUUCCCCCUUCCAGCAGCAGCUUUUUUGGCCUUAAAAUUAGCUGUAAAAUUUAAUGCUGAUGCUGGUUUUGGUUUAUCAAAUGUCGUUUUAUGCUAGCCAUUCAGUAUG
Molecule: unclassified non-coding RNA, 285 nt
Filed under: Hevea brasiliensis (rubber tree)
Lineage: Eukaryota; Viridiplantae; Streptophyta; Magnoliopsida; Malpighiales; Euphorbiaceae
Source: RNAcentral